Molecule: transfer RNA, 74 nt
Filed under: Bacteroidota bacterium
Lineage: Bacteria; Pseudomonadati; Bacteroidota
Also listed under: 1 other name
Description: tRNA-Ala
Rfam family: tRNA
About the family: Transfer RNA (tRNA) molecules are approximately 80 nucleotides in length. Their secondary structure includes four short double-helical elements and three loops (D, anti-codon, and T loops).
Source: RNAcentral
GGGGUGUUAGCUCAGUUGGCUAGAGCGCUUGCCUGGCAGGCAAGAGGUCAGGGGUUCGACUCCCCUACACUCCA